Molecule: ribosomal RNA, 428 nt
Filed under: uncultured bacterium
Lineage: Bacteria
Description: bacterial SSU rRNA
Rfam family: Bacterial small subunit ribosomal RNA
Source: RNAcentral
UAGGGAAUCUUCGGCAAUGGGCGAAAGCCUGACCGAGCAACGCCGCGUGAAUGAUGAAGGCCUUCGGGUUGUAAAAUUCUGUUAUAAGGGAAGAACGGCUUUAGUAGGAAAUGGCUAGAGUGUGACGGUACCUUAUGAGAAAGCCACGGCUAACUACGUGCCAGCAGCCGCGGUAAUACGUAGGUGGCAAGCGUUAUCCGGAAUUAUUGGGCGUAAAGAGCGCGCAGGUGGUUGAUUAAGUCUGAUGUGAAAGCCCACGGCUUAACCGUGGAGGGUCAUUGGAAACUGGUCGACUUGAGUGCAGAAGAGGGAAGUGGAAUUCCAUGUGUAGCGGUGAAAUGCGUAGAGAUAUGGAGGAACACCAGUGGCGAAGGCGGCUUCCUGGUCUGUAACUGACACUGAGGCGCGAAAGCGUGGGGAGCAAACAG